Molecule: unclassified non-coding RNA, 165 nt
Filed under: soil metagenome
Description: partial internal transcribed spacer 1
Source: RNAcentral
GUGAAUUGAAUAUGUUAGCGGACCCUCUUCGGAGUCCCUAGCAUCAAAUCAUAUCCAUAACACCUGUGAACUGUAAGGCUGUCUUGAGAACGAAAGUGAUUAGAGCGCCCCGCCCAUUUUAUACAAACAUUAAAGUAACAAACGUAGUCUUAUUAUAAUCUAAUA